RNAcentral lists this ribosomal RNA (455 nucleotides) under uncultured bacterium. Its description in RNAcentral is "bacterial SSU rRNA". It matches the Rfam family "Bacterial small subunit ribosomal RNA", at positions 340 to 786 of the family's 1533-position model. The record is from RNAcentral.
UACGGAAGGCAGCAGUGGGGAAUAUUGCACAAUGGGCGAAAGCCUGAUGCAGCUAUGCCGCGUGUAUGAAGAAGGCCUUAGGGUUGUAAAGUACUUUCAUCGGGGAGGAAAAAACAAAACUAAUAAUUUUAUUUCUUGACGUUACCCGAAAAAGAAGCACCGGCUAACUCCGUGCCAGCAGCCGCGGUAAUACGGAGGGUGCUAGCGUUAAUCAGAAUUACUGGGCGUAAAGAGCACGUAGGUGGUUUUUUUAAGUCAGAUGUGAAAUCCCUGGGCUUAACCUGGAACUGCAUUUUGAAACUGAAAUACUAGAGUAUCGUAGAGGGAGGUAGAAUUCUAGGUGUAGCGGUGAAAUGCGUAGAUAUCUGGAGGAAUACCUGUGGCGAAAGCGGCCUCCUAAACGAAUACUGACACUGAGGUGCGAAAGCGUGGGGAGCAAACAGGAAUUAGAUACC